GGUAAAAUGGCUGAAAUUAGGCAGUAAAUUGUAAAUUUACUUAUGAAUGUAUAUUCUUUUACCA
This 64-nucleotide transfer RNA is filed under the name Tenebrionoidea sp. 8 KM-2017. Its description in RNAcentral is "tRNA-Tyr". The record is from RNAcentral. Lineage: Eukaryota; Metazoa; Arthropoda; Insecta; Coleoptera.